GAGGGUACAGAUCAGUGGUGGAGCACAUGCUUAGCAUGCAUGAGGUCCUGGGUUCUAUCCCCAGUACCUCUG
This 72-nucleotide transfer RNA is filed under the name Camelus bactrianus (Bactrian camel). It matches the Rfam family "tRNA". From Rfam's summary of the family: Transfer RNA (tRNA) molecules are approximately 80 nucleotides in length. Their secondary structure includes four short double-helical elements and three loops (D, anti-codon, and T loops). RNAcentral also lists the same sequence under 2 other names. The record is from Rfam by way of RNAcentral. Lineage: Eukaryota; Metazoa; Chordata; Mammalia; Artiodactyla; Camelidae.